GAGUUUGAUCAUGGCUCAGAACGAACGCUGGCGGCAGGCUUAACACAUGCAAGUCGAGCGCGCGCCUUCGGGCGUGAGCGGCGGACGGGUGAGUAACGCGUGGGAACGUGCCCUCUUCUUCGGAGUAGCCCUGGGAAACCGGGAGUAAUGCCGGAUACGCCCUUUGGCAGCGAUGUCAUUGGGGAAAGAUUUAUCGGAGGAGGAUCGGCCCGCGUUGGAUUAGGUAGUUGGUGGGGUAACGGCCUACCAAGCCGACGAUCCAUAGCUGGUUUGAGAGGAUGACCAGCCACACUGGGACUGAGACACGGCCCAGACUCCUACGGGAGGCAGCAGUGGGGAAUCUUGGACAAUGGGGGCAACCCUGAUCCAGCCAUGCCGCGUGAGCGAUGAAGGCCUUAGGGUUGUAAAGCUCUUUCAGCGGGGAAGAUAAUGACGGUACCCGCAGAAGAAGCCCCGGCUAACUCCGUGCCAGCCGCCGCCGU
RNAcentral lists this ribosomal RNA (482 nucleotides) under uncultured Alphaproteobacteria bacterium. RNAcentral's name for it is "bacterial SSU rRNA". It matches the Rfam family "Bacterial small subunit ribosomal RNA", at positions 9 to 521 of the family's 1533-position model. Lineage: Bacteria; Pseudomonadati; Pseudomonadota; Alphaproteobacteria. The record is from RNAcentral.